RNAcentral lists this ribosomal RNA (373 nucleotides) under uncultured bacterium. Its description in RNAcentral is "bacterial SSU rRNA". It matches the Rfam family "Bacterial small subunit ribosomal RNA", at positions 523 to 898 of the family's 1533-position model. The record is from RNAcentral.
AUACGUAGGGGGCGAGCGUUGUCCGGAAUUACUGGGUGUAAAGGGCCCGUAGGCGGUUAUUUAAGUCAGCUGUGAAAGUCCAGGGCUUAACCCUGGAAUUGCAAUUGAAACUGAAUAACUUGAGAUAAGGAGAGGAGAGCGGAAUUCCUAGUGUAGCGGUGAAAUGCGUAGAUAUUAGGAAGAACACCAGUGGCGAAGGCGGCUCUCUGGCCUUACCCUGACGCUGAGGGGCGAAAGCGUGGGUAGCGAACAGGAUUAGAUACCCUGGUAGUCCACGCCGUAAACGAUGAGUGCUAGGUGUUGGGUGUCAAAGCUCAGUGCCGGAGUUAACACAAUAAGCACUCCACCUGGGGAGUACGACCGCAAGGUUGAA